GGUGAAGAACGCAGCGAAAUGCGAUAAGUAAUGUGAAUUGCAGAAUUCAGUGAAUCAUCGAAUCUUUGAACGCACAUUGCGCCCUCUGGUAUUCCGGGGGGCAUGCCUGUUCGAGCGUCAUUAUAACCACUCAAGCUCUCGCUUGGUAUUGGGGUUCGCGGUUCCGCGGCCCCUAAAAUCAGUGGCGGUGCCUGUCGGCUCUACGCGUAGUAAUACUCCUCGCGAUUGAGUCCGGUAGGUCUACUUGCCAGCAACCCCCAAUUUUUACAGGUUGACCUCGGAUCAGGUAGGGAUACCCGCUGAACUUAAGCAUAUCAAUAAGCGGAGGA
RNAcentral lists this unclassified non-coding RNA (329 nucleotides) under soil metagenome. Its description in RNAcentral is "partial contains 5.8S ribosomal RNA, internal transcribed spacer 2, and large subunit ribosomal RNA". The stretch from base 3 to 120 matches the Rfam family "5.8S ribosomal RNA", at positions 37 to 154 of the family's 154-position model. The record is from RNAcentral.